This 400-nucleotide ribosomal RNA is filed under the name uncultured bacterium. RNAcentral describes it as "bacterial SSU rRNA". It matches the Rfam family "Bacterial small subunit ribosomal RNA", at positions 359 to 776 of the family's 1533-position model. The record is from RNAcentral.
GAAUAUUGGACAAUGGGCGAAAGCCUGAUCCAGCAAUGCCGCGUGAGUGAUGAAGGCCUUAGGGUUGUAAAGCUCUUUUACCCGGGAUGAUAAUGACAGUACCGGGAGAAUAAGCUCCGGCUAACUCCGUUCCAGCAGCCGCGGUAAUACGAAGGGGGCUAGCGUUGCUCGGAAUCACUGGGCGUAAAGGGUGCGUAGGCGGGUCUUUAAGUCAGGGGUGAAAUCCUGGAGCUCAACUCCAGAACUGCCCUUGAUACUGAAGAUCUUGAGUUCGGGAGAGGUGAGUGGAACUGCGAGUGUAGAGGUGAAAUUCGUAGAUAUUCGCAAGAACACCAGUGGCGAAGGCGGCUCACUGGCCCGAUACUGACGCUGAGGCACGAAAGCGUGGGGAGCAAACAGG